RNAcentral lists this ribosomal RNA (497 nucleotides) under uncultured bacterium. Its description in RNAcentral is "partial 16S ribosomal RNA". It matches the Rfam family "Bacterial small subunit ribosomal RNA", at positions 28 to 507 of the family's 1533-position model. The record is from RNAcentral.
GAUGAACGCUGGCGGCGUGCCUAAUACGUGCAAGUCGAGCGAACAGACGAGGAGCUUGCUCCUCUGACGUUAGCGGCGGACGGGUGAGUAACACAUGGAUAACCUACCUAUAAGACUGGGAUAACUUCGGGAAACCGGAGCUAAUACCGGAUAAUAUAUUGAACCGCAUGGUUCAAUAGUGAAAGACGGUUUUGCUGUCACUUAUAGAUGGAUCCGCGCCGCAUUAGCUAGUUGGUAAGGUAACGGCUUACCAAGGCAACGAUGCGUAGCCGACCUGAGAGGGUGAUCGGCCACACUGGAACUGAGACACGGUCCAGACUCCUACGGGAGGCAGCAGUAGGGAAUAUUCCGCAAUGGGCGAAAGCCUGACGGAGCAACGCCGCGUGAGUGAUGAAGGUCUUCGGAUCGUAAAACUCUGUUAUUAGGGAAGAACAAAUGUGUAAGUAACUAUGCACGUCUUGACGGUACCUAAUCAGAAAGCCACGGCUAACUACGUG